This 61-nucleotide transfer RNA is filed under the name Scutopus robustus. RNAcentral's name for it is "tRNA-Cys". Lineage: Eukaryota; Metazoa; Mollusca; Caudofoveata; Limifossorida; Scutopodidae. The record is from RNAcentral.
AGUCUUUUAGUUGAAUAAAAUAUUAAAUUGCAAGUUUAAAGGUGCUAAAGUGUGGAGACUU